RNAcentral lists this ribosomal RNA (81 nucleotides) under Candida viswanathii. Its description in RNAcentral is "partial 5.8S ribosomal RNA". It matches the Rfam family "5.8S ribosomal RNA", at positions 77 to 154 of the family's 154-position model. Rfam says of the family: 5.8S ribosomal RNA (5.8S rRNA) is a component of the large subunit of the eukaryotic ribosome. It is transcribed by RNA polymerase I as part of the 45S precursor that also contains 18S and 28S rRNA. Functionally, it is thought that 5.8S rRNA may be involved in ribosome translocation. Lineage: Eukaryota; Fungi; Ascomycota; Pichiomycetes; Serinales; Debaryomycetaceae. The record is from RNAcentral.
GAUAUUCGUGAAUCAUCGAAUCUUUGAACGCACAUUGCGCCCUUUGGUAUUCCAAAGGGCAUGCCUGUUUGAGCGUCAUUU